This 497-nucleotide ribosomal RNA is filed under the name uncultured bacterium. RNAcentral's name for it is "partial 16S ribosomal RNA". It matches the Rfam family "Bacterial small subunit ribosomal RNA", at positions 28 to 507 of the family's 1533-position model. The record is from RNAcentral.
GAUGAACGCUGGCGGCGUGCCUAAUACAUGCAAGUCGAGCGAACAGACGAGGAGCUUGCUCCUCUGACGUUAGCGGCGGACGGGUGAGUAACACGUGGAUAACCUACCUAUAAGACUGGGAUAACUUCGGGAAACCGGAGCUAAUACCGGAUAACAUGUUGAACCGCAUGGUUCAACAGUGAAAGACGGUCUUGCUGUCACUUAUCGAUGGAUCCACGCCGCAUUAGCUAGUUGGUAAGGUCACGGCUUACCAAGGCAACGAUCCGUAGCCGACGUGGGAGAGUGGUAGGCGACACUGGAGGUUGAACACGGUCCAGAGGCCUACGGGAGGGAGCAGUAGGGAAUCGUCCGCAAUAGUCGGAAGCCUGACGGAGCAACGCCGCGUGAGUUGAAAAAGUCUCGGGAUCGUAAAACUCUGUUAUUAGGUAUGAACAAAUGUGAACAUAACUGUGCACGACUUGACGGUACCUAAACAAAAAGCCACGGCUAACUACGUG